Molecule: ribosomal RNA, 405 nt
Filed under: uncultured bacterium
Lineage: Bacteria
Description: partial 16S ribosomal RNA
Rfam family: Bacterial small subunit ribosomal RNA
Source: RNAcentral
AUUGAACGCUGGCGGCAGGCUUAACACAUGCAAGUCGAACGAGUGGCGGACGGGUGAGUAAUGCUUGGGCAUCUAGCUUAUGGAGGGGGAUAAAUACGGGAAACUGUAGCUAAUACCGCGUACCAUAGGAUGAGCCCAAGUGGGAUUAGGUAGUUGGUGAGGUAAAGGCUCACCAAGCCGACGAUCUCUAGCUGGGACGAGAGGAUGACCAGCCACACUGGAACUGAAACACGGCCCAGACUCCUACGGGAGUAAGCAGGGGGGAAUAUUGCGAAAUGGGGGCAACCUGACGCAGCCAUGCCGCGUGAAUGAAGAAGGCCUUCGGGUUGUAAAGUUCUUUCGGUAGCGCGGCGUUAACUACAGAAGAAGCACCGGCUAACUCCGUGCCAGCAGCCGCGGUAAUUC